GAUGAACGCUGGCGGCGUGCUUAACACAUGCAAGUCGAACGAAGCACUUUAUUUGAUUUCCUUCGGGACUGAUUAUUUUGUGACUGAGUGGCGGACGGGUGAGUAACGCGUGGGUAACCUGCCUUGUACAGGGGGAUAACAGUUGGAAACGGCUGCUAAUACCGCAUAAGCGCACGGCAUCGCAUGCUGCAGUGUGAAAAACUCCGGUGGUAUAAGAUGGACCCGCGUUGGAUUAGCUAGUGGGUGAGGUAACGGCCCACCAAGGCGACGAUCCAUAGCCGAACUGAGAGGGUGACAGGCCACAGUGGGAAUGAGACACGGACCAAACUGGUACGGGAGGCAGCAGUGGGGAAUAUUGCACAAUGGGCGAAAGCCUGAUGAAGCGACGCGGGGUAAGAGAAGAAGUAGUUCGGUAUGUGAAGUUGUAUGAGAAGGGAAGAGAAUGACGGUACCGGACUAAGAAGCACCGGCUAAAUACGUG
RNAcentral lists this ribosomal RNA (481 nucleotides) under uncultured bacterium. RNAcentral's name for it is "partial 16S ribosomal RNA". It matches the Rfam family "Bacterial small subunit ribosomal RNA", at positions 28 to 507 of the family's 1533-position model. The record is from RNAcentral.